GACGGAGGAGGCUAGCGUUGUUCGGAAUUACUGGGCGUAAAGCACAUGAAGGUGGUGAAGUAAGCCGGAUGUGAAAUCCCAGGGCUUAACCCUGGAAGUGCAUCCGGGACUGCUUUGCUCGAGUCCGGAAGAGGAGGGCGGAAUUCCCAGUGUAGAGGUGAAAUUCGUAGAUAUUGGGAAGAACACCAGUGGCGAAGGCGGCUACCUGGCUUGGUACUGACGCUCAGGUGCGAAAGCGUGGGGAGCGAACAGGAUUAGAAACCCUAGUAGU
Molecule: ribosomal RNA, 271 nt
Filed under: uncultured bacterium
Lineage: Bacteria
Description: partial 16S ribosomal RNA
Rfam family: Bacterial small subunit ribosomal RNA
Source: RNAcentral